UACGUAGGGGCCGAGCGUUGUCCGGAGUUAUUGGGCGUAAAGCGCACGCAGGCGGUCUCUUAAGUUUUGAGUGACAGGUGGUGGCUCAACUACCACAGGGCUUGGAAAACUGGGAGACUUGAGGACUUCAGAGGGAUGCGGAAUUCCAGGUGGAGCGGUGAAAUGCGUAGAGAUCUGGAAGAACACCAAAGGCGAAGGCAGCAUCCUGGGAAGUGCCUGACGCUCAUGUGCGAAAGCUAGGGGAGCGAACGGG
This 253-nucleotide ribosomal RNA is filed under the name uncultured bacterium. Its description in RNAcentral is "partial 16S ribosomal RNA". It matches the Rfam family "Bacterial small subunit ribosomal RNA", at positions 524 to 776 of the family's 1533-position model. The record is from RNAcentral.